Molecule: ribosomal RNA, 497 nt
Filed under: uncultured bacterium
Lineage: Bacteria
Description: partial 16S ribosomal RNA
Rfam family: Bacterial small subunit ribosomal RNA
Source: RNAcentral
GAUGAACGCUGGCGGCGUGCCUAAUACAUGCAAGUCGAGCGAACGGACGAGAAGCUUGCUUCUCUGAUGUUAGCGGCGGACGGGUGAGUAACACGUGGAUAACCUACCUAUAAGACUGGGAUAACUUCGGGAAACCGGAGCUCAUACCGGAUAAUAUUUUGAACCGCAUGGUUCAAAAGUGAAAGACGGUCAUGCUGUCACUUAUAGAUGGAUCCGCGCUGCAUUAGCUAGUUGGUAAGGUAACGGCUUACCAAGGCAACGAUGCAUAGCCGACCUGAGAGGGUGAUCGGCCACACUGGAACUGAGACACGGUCCAGACUCCUACGGGAGGCAGCAGUAGGGAAUCUUCCGCAAUGGGCGAAAGCCUGACGGAGCAACGCCGCGUGAGUGAUGAAGGUCUUCGGAUCGUAAAACUCUGUUAUUAGGGAAGAACAUAUGUGUAAGUAACUGUGCACAUCUUGACGGUACCUAAUCAGAAAGCCACGGCUAACUACGUG